RNAcentral lists this long non-coding RNA (2096 nucleotides) under Homo sapiens (human). RNAcentral's name for it is "HSALNT0396279". The record is from RNAcentral. Lineage: Eukaryota; Metazoa; Chordata; Mammalia; Primates; Hominidae.
CCCGCCUCGGCCUCCCAAAGUGCUGGGAUUGCAGGCACCCACCACCACAUCCAGCUAAUUGUUGUAUUUUUAAUAGAGGCGGGGUUUCGCCAUGUUGCACUGGCUGGUGUUGAACUCCUAACCUCAGGUGAUCCACCCGCCUCGGCCUCCCAAAGUGCUGGGAUUACAGGCCCGGUCCAGUUUGAUAGUUUGUUAUCAUGUUAUACGUACACUUAGAAUAAUGAUCCAGCCAUCUCAUUCUAACAGCAAUGAGAACUUAGGCUCCCCUCUCUACUAAAAUACAAAAGUUAGCUGGUCAUGGUGGUGCGGGCCUGUAAUCCCAGCUACUCGGGAGGCUGAUGCGGGAGAAUCACUUGAAACCCACAGGCGGAGGUUGCAGUGAGCUGAGGUGGUGCCACUACGCUCCAGCCUGGGGGAGGGGGACAUAGCGAGACUCGGUCUCAAAAACAAAACAAAACAAAACAAAACAAAACAAAAACAAAACAAAACAAAACAAAACACUGCCAAACUGUUUCCAAAGCAUCUGCAUCGUGUUUAAUUUCCAUAAGUAACGUAUGAGAAUUCUAGGUCCUCCAAAUAAUUAGCAGUCCUUCGUAGUGUCAGUUUUUGUUUCAGCCUUCCUUAUGGGUAUGCUGUGGCAUAUCCCUGAGAUUUUAAUUCGCAUUUUCCAGUGACUAAGGGUGUUGAACCACUCGUGCCUUCCUGUGCCUAUUUGACACUCCUAUAUUUUCUUUGGUGAAGUGUCUGUUCAAUCAUCUGCUCAUUAAAUUUUCCUUCGGUUGUUUGCCUUCUUAUUGUUGGAUUUUGAGAGUUCUAUGUACAAGUCCUUUGUCAGUCGUGUGAUUUGCAAGUCUUCUUCCUAGUCUCUGAAGUUUCUUUCUUUCAUAGAGCAAACGUUUUAAAUUUUUAUGAAGUAAGACUUCUCAGUUUUAUUUUUGGUGAAUUAUGUUUAUACUGCCAUAUAUAGGAACUCUUUGCUUAACUGGAGGUCAUGGAGAUUUUCUCCUACAUUUUCUUUUAAAAGUUUUAUAGUUUCAGAGUUUACAUGUAAUUCCAUAAUCUCCAUUUAGUUAAAUUUUGUAUGGGGUGUGAACUGUGGUUUGACUGUUUUCUUGUAUAUGGAUAUCCAAUUGUUUCACACAAUUUUUUUGAAAAGAAUAUCCUUGGCAGGGCACGGUAGCUCACACCUGUAAUCCCAGCACUUUAGGAGGUCAAGGUGGGCAGAUCAUGAGGUCAGGAGUUUGAGACCAGCCUGGCCAAUAUGGUGAAACCACGUCUCUAUUAAAAAUAGAAAAAUUAGCCAGGCGUGGUGGUGUGUGCCUGUAUUCACAGCUGCUUGGAUGGCUGAGGCAGGAGAAUCGCUUGAACCCAGGAGUCAGAGGUUUCAGUGAGCCGAGAUUGUGCCACUGCACUCCAGCCUGGGUGAAAGAGCUAGAUUCUCUCUCUCAAAAAAAAAAAAAAAAAAAAGGAAAGAAAGAAAGAAAAGAAAAGAAAAUCCUUUUUGCUUUAACUUGCCUUGCAGGUUUGUAGAAAACUCAAUUGUUGAAAUUUGGGUGGAUAUAUUUCUGGAUUUUCUAUUCUAUUCCAUGUUGGACCAAUACCACACUGCCCUAGUCACUGUUGCAUUAUAGUAUAUCUUUAAAGGAGUAAUGGGAAUCCUUCAACUACAUUUUUUCCCCAAUAAUUUUUGGCUAUUCUGCUUCCUUUGUGUUUCUAUGUAAAUUUUAUCAUCAGUGUGUCUAUUUCUACAAAUAGUCCUGAUAGGGUUUGAAUUGGGAUUUCUGUGAAUCUAUAGAUCAAUCUGAGGAGACUUAAUAAUGAUAUUGAUUCUCCCAAUUCAUGAAUAUAGUAUACCCCUGUAUUUAUUUGUUUUCUUGAAUUUCUUUUAUCAUUGUUUUGUAGUUUUCACCAUGACAGUCUUGCACAUAUUUUGUUAAAUGUACAGCUGAGAAUUUAAUUUUUUCUGGUGUACAAUGCUAAUAAAAUGGUGCUUUAAAAGAUGUGUUCUUCAGUUGUUUAUUGUUAAUACAUGGUAGAAGUUUGUAUCCUGUUUUUGUAAAAGGCCACAUAGUCAAUAUUUUAGGUCUUGCAUGCCC